UCAAACUUGGUCAUUUAGAGGAAGUAAAAGUCGUAACAAGGUUUCCGUAGGUGAACCUGCGGAAGGAUCAUUAUCGAAUAAACUUGAUGUGGUUGAGCUGACAUCUUAGGGUGUAUGUGCUCGCUCGUCAUCUUUAUCUAUCCACCUGUGCACUUUUUGUAGACUUUUGAGAUGUUACCGUUUUGCUGAGGUUAACCUUGGUUCAGAGGAAUGUCUUUUAUUAGGCUUUUCUUGAGAAGUAACAUCUUGAGUCUAUGUCUUUUUACAUACUCCAAUGAAUGUAUUAGAAUGUAUAUUAAUGGGACAUUUGUGCCUAUAAAUCUAUACAACUUUCAGCAACGGAUCUCUUGGCUCUCGCAUCGAUGAAGAACGCAGC
RNAcentral lists this unclassified non-coding RNA (376 nucleotides) under uncultured fungus. RNAcentral's name for it is "partial contains small subunit ribosomal RNA, internal transcribed spacer 1, and 5.8S ribosomal RNA". The stretch from base 1 to 73 matches the Rfam family "Eukaryotic small subunit ribosomal RNA", at positions 1759 to 1831 of the family's 1831-position model. Lineage: Eukaryota; Fungi. The record is from RNAcentral.